RNAcentral lists this ribosomal RNA (362 nucleotides) under Staphylococcus aureus. Its description in RNAcentral is "bacterial SSU rRNA". It matches the Rfam family "Bacterial small subunit ribosomal RNA", at positions 280 to 634 of the family's 1533-position model. The record is from RNAcentral. Lineage: Bacteria; Bacillati; Bacillota; Bacilli; Caryophanales; Staphylococcaceae.
UGCAUAGCCGACCUGAGAGGGUGAUCGGCCACACUGGAACUGAGACACGGUCCAGACUCCUACGGGAGGCAGCAGUAGGGAAUCUUCCGCAAUGGGCGAAAGCCUGACGGAGCAACGCCGCGUGAGUGAUGAAGGUCUUCGGAUCGUAAAACUCUGUUAUUAGGGAAGAACAUAUGUGUAAGUAACUGUGCACAUCUUGACGGUACCUAAUCAGAAAGCCACGGCUAACUACGUGCCAGCAGCCGCGGUAAUACGUAGGUGGCAAGCGUUAUCCGGAAUUAUUGGGCGUAAAGCGCGCGUAGGCGGUUUUUUAAGUCUGAUGUGAAAGCCCACGGCUCAACCGUGGAGGGUCAUUGGAAACU